UGUUCAGUGUUCGCUGGUGUGAGGCAGGCGAGGGGUUGUGGGAUCUUUGGGUUUUCUGUGUGGAAGGAAUGAGUGGGCUGGUGUCCGGGAGCUUCCAGUCCCAAACUUGAGGUGGCUUGGGGUCCGUGUGGGCGCUGGCUGUAGGACCCCAGUGUAAGUGGUGACUGUGGGGCCUGUGAGCUUCCUGAAGAAGCUAGCAGGUGGCAGAGAUCCAGGCAAACAUGGGAAUGCUUUCUUAAGUUUGGCCGUAGAAACAGAGGAGUCAACGAUGUUAUGGAUACAUCACAGCGUGGAUACAGCAUGUAGCCUGAGUCAGGAGAGCAGCAUGUUUUCUAAGAUGUGAAGUCACUCACUCUAAAUGGUGUAGAAAGUGCACUGUGCUUGUAAUGUUUUCAGGCUUAAAUUGUCUAGAAAUGAGUAUUUUCCAACAAUCAGAAAUUAAACUCAGUAUACCUGCUGGCUUUGUAACUUAUCUGCUUGUUCUUUGAUUGGCUUGUGACUCCCUUCUUCAUAUUUUCUGCUAAUCUUUUAUUACUACGUUAAUAUGCAUUAUAUCCAAGCAUUGAACAAGCUUGCCAGAAAUACUUUAGUGUUCAUUUGUUUUGUUUACCUGAUUGUGGGCUUUUUAGAUUCAUUCAUUAUAACUUUGACGUGGAGACAGAAAGGACUUGUGGUGGUGGUGGAGAUGAUGUUGUACAGUUAGUUGCUAUGACAAAUGUAGUUUUUCUUUACUAAGACUUUGGUCCUGAAUAUGUUUCUGAUGCGUGUGGCCUACGCUGCUGUCAGAUACUUGGGGUAUGUAAAGACAUCUACCACAGCUGUACUGUACACUGAAGUGUGAAGCUGGUAUCUUUUAUCAGGUCAUGCUGAAUCUGUAGUAAACGGCUAAAGCAGGUCUUGGAGAACAGGAGAGGUGCCUGAAGACUGGAAGAUAGCCAGUGUCAGUCCAGUGUUCAAAAAGGGCAAGAAGCAGGAUCUGGGAAACUACCAGGCCAGUCAGCCUCACUUCUGACUCUGAAAAGGUGAUGGAAAAGCUUUUUCUGGAUGCCCUCUCCAAACAAUUGGUAGAAAAGAAGGCUAUCAGGAGUAGUCAGCAUGGAUUCACCGAGGGAAACUCAUGCUUGACAAGAGUCAUAGCCUUCUGUGAUGGCAUUACCGGCUGGGUAGGUGGGCAGUGGAUGUUUUCUACCUUGACUUCAGCAAAGCUUUUAACACUGUCUCCCAUGACAUCCUGAGAACGAAGCUGAGAAAGUGUGGGAUAGAUGAGUGGACAGUGAGGUGGGUUGAGAACUGGCUGACUGGCUGAGCUCAGAGGGAGGUGAUUGGUGGUGCGGAGUCUGAUUGGAGACCUGUGACUAGCAGUGCUCCCAAGGAGUCAGUACUGGGUCUGGUCUUGUUCAAUAUCUUCAUCAACAACCUUGAUGAGGGGAUAGCGUCCACCCUCAGCAAGUGUGCCGACAACAAAAAGCUGAGAGGAGUGGCUGAAAGACCUGAAAGCUGUGCUGCCAUUCAGCAAGACCUGGACAGGCAGGAGAGCUGGGCAGUAAGAAACCAAAUGGGGGUUAAUAAAAGCAAGUGUAGAGUCUUGCACCUGGGAAGGAAAAACCACAAGUAUGAGUACAGAUUGGGAUGUGACCUGCUGGAGAGGAGCUCUGUGAAGCACCUGGGAGUCCUGGUGGAUGACAGGUUGGCCAUGAGCCAGCAGUGUGCCCUGGUGGCCAAGAAGGCCAAGGGGAUCCUGGGGUGCAUUCAAAGGAGUGUGGCCAGCAAGUCGAGGGCGAUGAUCUUUCCCCCUCUACUCUGAGCUGGUCAGGCCUCACCUGGAGUACUGUACCCAGUUCUGGGCUCCCUGGUACAAAAAAGACAGGGAUCUCAUGGAGAGAGUCCAGUGGUGGGCCACAAAGAUGAUAAAGAGCCUGGAGCAUCUCCCUUAUGAGGAAAGGCUGAGCAAACUGAGUCUGUUCAGCUUUGAGAAAAGAAGACUCAGAGGUGAUCUUAUUAAUGUUUAUAAAUACCUUAAGUGUGAGAGUGAAAGGGACACGGCCAACUUCUUUUCAGCUAGCUGUGAUGACAGGACACGGGGAAAUGGCUAUAAACAUGAGCAUAGGAAGUUCUGCACCAAUAUACAAAGGAACUUCUUCACAGUGAGGGUGACAGAGCACUGGAACAGGCUACCCAGGGAGGCUGUGGAUUCUCCUCUGGAGAUGUUCAAGACCCACCUGGAUGCCUACCUGUGCAGCCUGUUGUAGGGAGCCUGCUUUGCAGGGGGUUGGACUCGGUGAUCUCUGGAGGUGCCUUCUAACCCCUACUGUUCUCAAGGUAAGCACAUCAAAAUUCAAAAGCAUUGUAGAGUCAUCUAAAAAUGUCCUGAAAGGGCAUGUUUUCUGUUGCUUACCAGAACCAGCUGGGAUUUUCUUUUGUGUGCUGUAUUAUUGCCUGCUUUCUCUCUUUGCCAUUGAUGAUAAGCAAAAGAUUAAUACAAAAAUAGAACUUAGCGAAAAAUCAGAAUCAAUGUACAAAUGUGACAUCGGAAAGUUUUGUUUUUAAAGGGAGACAGUACUUGUUUGAUGCAACCUGUAUUAUUAUGACUUCCAACCCAAGCCAUUCUAUGAUGUUACAACUGCCAGGCUGCAUGUGCCAAUGAAUGUUUUUGGGGCUUUUUGUAACAUACUACAUGACCAUGCAUUUAGGUUCUGUGAUUUCAGAAGCUUCACACCACCUGCUAGGUGAUGACCUGCAAUGCAUGUUGCAUUUACAGGACCAAAUGUUAUUGCCAUUGUGUACACUGAAGGAUUCAGAGCAAUUGCAGACUGCUGUAGUUGGGUCUGCAAAAGAAAAUGAAACACAGUUCCAAGUGUUAAGGAAUUUCCGCAAAGGUGAUAUUUAAGGAUAAAGUUCCUAAGAAGAAUAUGAUUUGAAAUAAAAAAUUAGUUUGUUUUACAGUAACAGACUAAGCAAAGAAAAUUUCCCUUUUUUUUUUGAGGAACACAACGUUAGCAGGUAGCAGCCGUACAAACCAAGAGGUUUCUAUUAACUGACAUGGUGCAUUCUUGUCAAUAAAGAUGUAUGUAUACGUACCUUUUGGAGAUGAUUAAGAUUGUUUUGAGCAUGGUUAAUGACAAAGGACAUAUAAACAGGAUGACUCAUUUGGUUAUAAAUGUUAAGUAAAACCAAUUAUUUGCAUUGGUGAUAGAGUAUGGCAUCCAACAUGGACAAAUUUUUGUUUAACAUAGAAAUUUUCUUUUUAAGCCUUAUAUAUUACCAUUCUGAUAUAGUGAUGUAUUUUUUCAUCUCCUAAAAAAAUUACUGAAGGAGAUUUUCAUUUAGGAAUUGUUUCAUAUCUCAAUAAAAUUUUAUAUGUAUGCAUAUACAUUUGCUCUCCUGAGAGAAAUGGCAAGGAAUCAUCUCUGUUUAAAGCUGACCAAUUCUACUGAAAGUGCUUUAUUAUUCACUAUAAGAAUACGUUGACUGAAGGGUUAUUUAUUAUAAUAUAUUCACAGAUGCUUUGUUAAGUAAAGUCUGAAAUGUUUCAAGGGAUGCCAUUUCCAGCACCUUCUUCUGAAGACUCCUGAUAAUCAAAUAGGAACAUCAGAUAUAUGUGGGUUUGAACUCAAAGCAAAGAUAGAGUCCAAACCUUAGCAUGACAGAAAGAGGGCUUUGUAUCAUAUUUGAAAACUCUUCACCAGUCUUCGUACUCUCUUGGACUGUAAAUUAGAUGCGAACUUACCUGGUGAAAAUGUCAUGGAGAUGAGAGAGAAGAGAUGCAGAAAAGCAGAGAGUUUCCAUCCUCCUGCCGACCCAGUGGAACACAAUGCUGUAACAGCAGGCGUCUGAUAAAACAGUGAAGUUGUGACUAGAGUCUGCCUUGGACUGGUGCUUCAGUUCAGAAUGCCAGCACAUGUGAAGAAUGCUCUCAUUCUGACCAUCUGUUGUCACAGGUAAAUUGAGAGAUGGUAGCACACAACAGUGUAUUGUUAUAAAGAAAGUUUGUACUGCCUUAGUAUUAGAAGUUGAAGGGCUUAUAGAAUAUUUUCUGACCCUGAAAAUGUUAACUUUUCCUUUCUUUCUUUGGGGGAUGUUUUUUUUCCCCAGGUAUCUGAAGAAAAAGCGAUGAUUACAAUAAGAGAAAUUGCAAGAGAUUUUCCAGAUCUAGGGUCAGUGGUGACAUCCCCAUAAAUCAUGAGUAACCCUAACACAGACAGUCUUAAAGAGGCUUAGUUGUCAUAAACAUAUAUACUUAGGUAGAACUGUUCCCAUCAUAUUUAUCUUUCAUUCCAUAGCUUAUAGAAACCAAAUUUCUGUCAUCGACAAUUAUUAAUCAUGCAUUUACCCUGCUGAGACAUCUAAUAAAGCAUCAAGUACAGAGUCUGAACAUGAGUGAGAGAAAAGGAGAGAAAACAGAGAAAACAUAAUCCAAAUUUUUUAAAGUGAGGGGAAGAAAAAUCUCACAGAACAUCUGUUCACCACAUGUUCAUAAAUUACAGUGGGAUUUUGAACUUUUCUUCUCUCAUCUACAUGUCACGCAGAUUUAAUAGUUCAUAAUUUUACAAAAAACAACAUAAUUAUGCACCAUGCUCAAAAGAACAUGUGAUCAGCUCUCCAGAAGCACUGCUGCAAGCUGCUCUCUGUUGAUGCCAAGCUUGCAGCAGUUCAGCAUGUUGUGCCUUCUCAGCCCUUGCAUGGGAGGCUCAUUAUUCAUGGCAAGACUGAAGAAAACACCACUGAAAUUCAACUCAUGAGCCUGGGCCUGAAUAUGAUAACCUUUGACUCUCCAGGGAAAUUAACAUUUUGUGCUUAGACCACAAAAAAUAUUGGAAUGUAAGGUCUUACUGAGAAAUACUAUUUCUCAUUGAGAAUGCACCUUUCCCCCAUCAGUGCGUUGUAGAACAGGUUUUUAUUUAGCUUAAAUGGAAAAGAAUGAACAGAGCAAGUAUUACAUAGAAGACGUAUUUUGCAAAUUUUUUAUUUAUGGCUGAACUACAGAUCAGAAUCUAAAAAUAUGUGCUUCCAUCUACUUGACUGAGACAAGUCACUGGUGUACAUAUGAGUACACGCAGUCAAGUUUCCUCUUGCCAUUUACUUCCCAUGAAACUGAUCCAUCUGUGCAUAAAAUCUAUGUACAGAUUCCAGGUCUUGGGCUGACUCUGCAUCCAAGGGAAACCCUUGCAAAUAUUUGUUCUGAGAUGUGAAAGAGAAGAGGGAAUUUAGAUGCAGAAUUAGGAAUAGAAGGAGAAAGACAAGUAUCAUGAAAGGAAAUUGUGCUUUUGUAUUGCCUUCAUUGCCUCAUUUUUAAAAUUAUCCUCUUCCCUACCAAAUAACAACAUCUUCAAGAAAGAGAACUUAUAAACGUACAAGCAUUUUUCCUUUAUAACAUACACACAAACAAAAAACAUGGAUUCCAGCAUGCAAGAAGCAAAAGCAAAAUAUUCAGGAAGCACACUUGCAAUAAACAAAUUGGAGAUUAAAACCGUCCCAUGUCAACAUUCAGAUUCGUUAAGACCUCAAACAUAUAAGCUUUAAUGUAGUUGUAAUAUACAGAUUUAGAGUACUCUUCAAGAAAAAUAUGACUCAGGAGCAGUUGCCAGCAUGAGAAGUUUCUGCUUUUUCUUUUCCUGCUGAUGAUAAUUAUGAUUUAGGGCUCCAUAUUAAACAAGGAAGGGGCUGCAAACACAGUUUGAAAUGUUUCAUAUUGGUGUUUUAAUGAAGAUCCCAUAGAUGCCGUCUUCUUCUACCUAAGUUAAUGGAUUGAUUUAGGUAGAGGUUCUGUAAAAUGUAGUAGAAAAUCUUGUUGCAGUUAGAAAAUCCUAGCAAGAGAUUGAUUUCUAUGUAAUAAAAUUACUUCAUUAAAUGAAAUCCUCAUAUUUCUUCUCAACUCUUGAGACAGCUACCAAAUUUUAUAAAAGGCCAUUAAAUGUAGUGCACAGCUGGCAUUGGCCUGCUGGCAGGAAAAAUGACUUUCCCCAGCUGAGUUCUCUGAGAGGUCCAAAGCUGCCACAGAACUGAACAAAGCUCUCUGCACCACAAACUGCUAAGGGAAACAAAACACUGCACAGGAGCAGGGGCCACUGACCAAUAGACUGAGUCCCCCAAAGCAGGUAAAAAUGAGUAUAAAACGUUUGAACAAACUUGUUCAGAAUUGCCUUUGUCUGCAGCUUCACAGUUAUUUCAAGCACACGUGCUUUAUUUUUGCACAGGAAUUGAGAAAAAUUAUGAAGUUGGUAUGCCUAACCAGCCCAAAUUCCAAGUUUACAGAUCACUAUAGCUGCGGAAACUGCUGGUCCAUCCUUUUAUUUUUCAGAGGUAGAGAAGGUGGAGUUUUUUGAGUAUCAAUGAGGUGAGAUUGUGGCAAGUCUUUCUGCUUCCAUCAUCAUGAUUUUUUUUCACCAUUCCCUUUGCCUCUGCUGUUGUCAGGUGCGCUGCAGUCCUCUUGUCUUGCAGACUGACUGUCUCCUUGCACUCAGAAAACUCAAUUCAAGUAGAUAUCUUGUGAGUCUGCAAAGAUAAAUCAAUUCCAAUGUUUUUCAUCCUGGGAAAAAGGAAAGUAGAAAUCAGUUACACAGUAAGCAUGGAGAAGUUCUGACUCAUACCUAAUUUGAUCUAAUCUAAAGUUUAUUAAGCUCAGAAGAAUUUGACUGGUUUCCUUUUAGCUUUAUUUCAGAACAAUUGUUUGUGGUGCAUGCUGCAUCCCUGGGCACUUCAUCUCUUUUCAUCUUUCAUCCACUUUUAUUUAAGCCUUUGUUUCUCAGUAUGGGGUGAUGUGUUGAUAAAAUAAACUACUUAUCUUUGUUGAAAUUACUCUUUUUGGUAUGAAAUGUUGGGUAUGGUAUGGUAUGAAAUUGCGCAUUACCCAGGGGGAAAAAGAAAGAGUCCAAGAACUUUGCAAGAUUUUAAUUAAAACUGAAUCAUGGCAUAAAUGAACAGCUAGAAAACAGUCUGAGAAAUUCAGUACUAUCCAGUUUUCAUGUUAGUUCCUUCAGUUAUUUAAUUCCAGAGAAUGCCUGGAGUAGUCAAACAGGAGAUUGAUAGCAAACUUCUUGUGAAGAAACUGUUUGCUAGGUAAUGUCCAUGCCCCCAUGAGUGCAGUUGCAAAGGAAGCUCAGAGAAUAUGCAAGCUCCUGGUACAAAUACAUUCUUUUCUCAGGGAGGAAAAAUACAGAAGAUCUAUGGGACAGGAGCCAUUUGUUCAGGGAAUUGGUUUCGAAGAAGAGUACCAAAGCUCAACGAUGCUCAUUGGAGACAGAACAGGGUAGAGAGAUAUUUGCCUUCCUGGAUUUAGCUUUGCCUCAGCUUUACCUACAUAUAUGAGAAGUUGUUCAUUGUUUGCUUGAUUUUUGCAAUCAGAGGCUGACCAUACACCAGAUGAUUCCUGUGGCUGCAGGACAACGUAGCCCUCCUGACAGUGGACAGAAGUAUAUGACCAGAGGAGAUUAUAUGCACUGGAAAAACCACUGAACUGAAGUUUACAAGUUGUUGGUUGUGAGCUGUGACAAUGCAUCGUGCAUUAGUAAUGCAUCUUAAUGUACAUAUGAGGGGAAAUCUUGAAGAAAACCUGCACGAAGCGUGUAUUCACUACAGUGCUGUGAGUAGCUGGUAGAACAGAGUUGAGAAUGUAAUUUAGCUAGUGAACAGAAAACAGAAGAAAAAGCAAGAAAAGGUCGCACCUAAUGUUCAGAGUAAGACUUCUUUUCUCAUUGAAAUGUGAAGGUGGAUUCCCAAAUCUUUGUUCCAGAUUUUGGCUCUAUGACAAAUAAGUGUAAAGAGAAGAAAGAUGAAUGUGACUAUAAUACACAGGCAAAGCUGUGCAUAUCUGAUGCGUAAAAAGAAUUUGGAAUUUUGAGGUCUGCUAAAUCAGUUGAGUCUUAUUGCAAUGUUUUUCUGGUUCAUUUGGCCAGAGAGCAUGUAUUAAAUCUAUAUGACCGUGCACAUAGGCAAAUAUUGAUUUUAUUAGUAAAGAAAUUGAGAAAAAUAUGUGAUGUCCUAGUAUCUGGUUAUCCAGUUCUAAUACACGUUCCUUCUUUACUCACAAUUCUACAUGAAUGAAGGUCCCAGUUCAUUCAUGAAGCCCUUCUGCCCACUCUAUAAAGGUUAAGUCCAUUCAGCAAAAAUUGAAAAUGAGAGUUGAAUCCUGUGAACAAUUAAAUUCUGCAUUUGAAAUAAUAAAUGCAUAGUCUCAUGCAUGUAAAUUGUACUGAAAUAUUAACUUUUUUUAGACAAAAAUGAAUUUGAAACAAACUUAUGGCACUUAUUCUGUAGAAAACUUGCAAUCAGUGAGAAGUCUGAGUUUAUUGAAUAAAUAAUAUAACCUUAUACCUUAAUAUUCAAUAAAUUAAUAUAGACUUACUUUUGAGUAAACAGUAGGAUUUUAAAAUUUCAACAAAAAUUAAUUUUAUUUAUUGCAGACUUGGGUGGGACUGUGCUUAUUUACUAUAUAGGGUCAUGAAAUAUUCAGUUUGAAUGCACUAAAGAGAUCUGUAAGUGCUUCCCGGAUUUCCCAACCUUCCAAAAUUCCCAUGGAAACAUUGAAUCACCAAGGUUGGAAAACACCUCCAAGAUCCAACCAUCCACCAAUCCCAUACCACCAAUAUUUCCCCACUAAAUUGUGUCCCUCGGUACCACAUCUAAACGUUUCUUGAACACCUCCAGGGAUGGUGAUUCCACCACCUUCCUGGGCAGCCUGUUGCAGAGCCUGACCACUCUUUUGGAGAAUAAAUUUUACUCAAUAUCCAACCUGAAUCGAUCUUUCAUGAUGGAUAAGCAAAGGCACAUCUUUAAUGAAUGGCUCCAAGUGAUUUUUCUGUCACAUCAAGAUUUAUACAGAAAAAUGGAUUAAUAGGAACCUUCUGACAAACUUUUCAGUAAUUUAUGCUUUUUAUAUUUAACAUUUAAUGUAAAUUUGAUGUUGAACAGCAGUUCUGUAGCAGUAGUUUAGCUACUGGACACCAAACAGUGGAGAUGUCUGAUGCUGAGGGAUCUGUUCAGGAGAGCUGUGCUGGAUCACAUCACUUCAUGAUUUCCUUAGAAGGAAGUAUGAAAAAGCCUUCAGGAACUGCCACCAAUGGAGGCAGGCUUCCUUAGCUCCUUCUCACAGCUAGGGAGAAUGGUAAGAUUUUCCCAUGCAGGAAUUCAUAGGCUUGGGGAUAGAUCUGACAGUUGUGUAGGAGGGGGUUGCCAGCCUGGAUCCUGAGCAACUACUUGCUACAGGUGGCAGGUGAGGGAAGUAUGCACGUUUGUUCUUCCUAGCCCUGCCAAGUGUGCUGCUGCUCAGGGCAGGCCCUGGGGGAAGGCCUGGAAGGAAACAUCUGCUCACCGGUCAGUGCCAAGCCACGCGGAGCUGAUGGUGGCUUUGUGAGGCAUUUGGUGAUGCCGUGUGUUCAUGCUCAUUUCACAGAUACUGCUGCUGUCUGUGCUGGGUUUAAUAUUGGGAGGGAUUGAAGGAAAGUACCUUGGGAAGGAUUAUAUGAGGAGAAGACACAUAAACCUUUCUUCCUGACUGAACUUUGUUAUUUUCACAAAUGUGGAACACAUUUGGUCUGGCAUC
This is a long non-coding RNA of Lagopus muta (rock ptarmigan), 9538 nucleotides long. RefSeq lists it as uncharacterized. The transcript has 5 exons. The record is from RefSeq and is a predicted model, not a curated record. Lineage: Eukaryota; Metazoa; Chordata; Aves; Galliformes; Phasianidae.